CACGUAGUUAGCCGGUGCUUCUUCUACCACUACCGUCACCACCCUUCCAACCAGGUAGCUUCCUCGCGGUCGAAAGGAGUUUACAACCCGAAGGCCGUCAUCCCCCACGCGGCGUCGCUGCAUCAGGCUUCCGCCCAUUGUGCAAUGUUCCCCACUGCUGCCUCCCGUAGGAGUCUGGGCCGUAUCUCAGUCCCAAUGUGGCCGUCCACCCUCUCAGGCCGGCUACCCGUCGCCGCCUUGGUAGGCCAUUACCCCACCAACAAGCUGAUAGGCCGCGAGCUCAUCCCCAACCACUAGAAAAUCGUUUUCCACCACAGGCACCACCCUGCAGUCCUAUCGGGAAUUAGACCCAGUUCCCCAGGCUUAUACCCAAGUUGGGGGCAGAUCACUCACGUGUUACUCACCCGUUCGCCACUCGAGCCACCCGCAACUCCACGAAAGGGAACGCGACGGUCCUUUCCGUCGUACUUGCAUGUAGUUAAGCACGCCGCCAGCGUCGUCUCGUACGCGACGACGUACGAACUACGU
RNAcentral lists this ribosomal RNA (528 nucleotides) under uncultured Corynebacterium sp. RNAcentral describes it as "partial 16S ribosomal RNA". The record is from RNAcentral. Lineage: Bacteria; Bacillati; Actinomycetota; Actinomycetes; Mycobacteriales; Corynebacteriaceae.